Molecule: ribosomal RNA, 253 nt
Filed under: uncultured bacterium
Lineage: Bacteria
Description: partial 16S ribosomal RNA
Rfam family: Bacterial small subunit ribosomal RNA
Source: RNAcentral
UACGAAGGGGGCUAGCGUUGUUCGGAAUUACUGGGCGUAAAGCGCACGUAGGCGGAUACUUAAGUCAGGGGUGAAAUCCCGGGGCUCAACCCCGGAACUGCCUUUGAUACUGGGUAUCUCGAGUCCGGAAGAGGUGAGUGGAAUUCCGAGUGUAGAGGUGAAAUUCGUAGAUAUUCGCAAGAACACCAGUGGCGAAGGCGGCUCACUGGCCCGAUACUGACGCUGAUGCACGAAAGCGUGGGGAGCAAACAGG